This is a non-coding RNA of Vicugna pacos (alpaca), 628 nucleotides long. Lineage: Eukaryota; Metazoa; Chordata; Mammalia; Artiodactyla; Camelidae. The record is from RefSeq and is a predicted model, not a curated record.
GCUCUCCUGCCUCCGCGGCCCCAGGUGCGUCUCGGGCGAGAGAGCCGGCGGAGCAGGUGGAAGAGCGCCGGCGGGAGCCGACGGGGUGCUGCUUCUGCCCCGCAGCCCUCAAACUCGGAGAGGAAAAAGCCUGACGGAGCCAGGGUGGUCAAAAGCCAGGGGCGGCAGAGCUCUGGGCCUUCCGCGCUCGCAUCUCCGCAGUCCACAGCUGCCUCCCUGCUGGGAUUCGAACCCCGACGGAGCCCCCACUGCUCAGGGGGCAUCCAGUCUUGCGCCGGCGCUGACUGGGCCAGAGAAGGCGCUCUCUGCCGGGCUCUCUUUCCCGCUGACCGUCACCUCUGGCGUUUCCGGCCCUAGACGGACAGGCGGCCUCCCAGGAGGGCCUCGGUAAUUUCUCUGCCCGGAUCUGCGUCCUGGAGUCCUGGCUAGGGCCACCAUCUCUCAGGAGCGCAGAUGCCUAGAUUGAGGCUGUGGGCCUGAACUCCCUCAUUUGAGCCAGGGUGGGAGUCGGCUCCAGCAUCUCGGCCCAAACUCGCACCCCAAAAAGCGCUGGAAGAGGCCGGCGACCCCUUCCCCCGCGGCGCGCGUGUUGGGUGGGACUCAGCGGCUCGGUGGACGGCGCUCCUGC